This 461-nucleotide ribosomal RNA is filed under the name uncultured Streptococcus sp. RNAcentral's name for it is "bacterial SSU rRNA". It matches the Rfam family "Bacterial small subunit ribosomal RNA", at positions 920 to 1382 of the family's 1533-position model. The record is from RNAcentral. Lineage: Bacteria; Bacillati; Bacillota; Bacilli; Lactobacillales; Streptococcaceae.
CCCGCACAAGCGGUGGAGCAUGUGGUUAAUUCGAAGCAACGCGAAGAACCUUACCAGGUCUUGACAUCCCGAUGCUAUUUCUAGAGAUAGAAAGUUACUUCGGUACAUCGGUGACAGGUGGUGCAUGGUUGUCGUCAGCUCGUGUCGUGAGAUGUUGGGUUAAGUCCCGCAACGAGCGCAACCCCUAUUGUUAGUUGCCAUCAUUCAGUUGGGCACUCUAGCGAGACUGCCGGUAAUAAACCGGAGGAAGGUGGGGAUGACGUCAAAUCAUCAUGCCCCUUAUGACCUGGGCUACACACGUGCUACAAUGGUUGGUACAACGAGUUGCGAGUCGGUGACGGCGAGCUAAUCUCUUAAAGCCAAUCUCAGUUCGGAUUGUAGGCUGCAACUCGCCUACAUGAAGUCGGAAUCGCUAGUAAUCGCGGAUCAGCACGCCGCGGUGAAUACCGUUCCCGGGCCUU